RNAcentral lists this ribosomal RNA (497 nucleotides) under uncultured bacterium. Its description in RNAcentral is "partial 16S ribosomal RNA". It matches the Rfam family "Bacterial small subunit ribosomal RNA", at positions 28 to 507 of the family's 1533-position model. The record is from RNAcentral.
GAUGAACGCUGGCGGCGUGCCUAAUACAUGCAAGUCGAGCGAACAGACGAGGAGCUUGCUCCUCUGACGUUAGCGGCGGACGGGUGAGUAACACGUGGAUAACCUACCUAUAAGACUGGGAUAACUUCGGGAAACCGGAGCUAAUACCGGAUAACAUGUUGAACCGCAUGGUUCAACAGUGAAAGACGGUUUUGCUGUCACUUAUAGAUGGAUCCGCGCCGCAUUAACUAGUUGGUAAGGUAACGGCUUACCAAGGCAACGAUGCGUAGCCGACCUGAGAGGGUGAUCGGCCACAAUGGAACUGAGACACGGUCCAGACUCCUACGGGAGGCAGCAGUAGGGAAUCUUCCGCAAUGGGCGAAAGCCUGACGGAGCAACGCCGCGUGAGUGAAGAAGGUCUUCGGAUCGUAAAACUCUGUUAUUAGGGAAGAACAAAUGUGUAAGUAACUAUGCACGUCUUGACGGUACCUAAUCAGAAAGCCACGGCUAACUACGUG